RNAcentral lists this ribosomal RNA (440 nucleotides) under uncultured bacterium. Its description in RNAcentral is "partial 16S ribosomal RNA". It matches the Rfam family "Bacterial small subunit ribosomal RNA", at positions 339 to 795 of the family's 1533-position model. The record is from RNAcentral.
CUACGGGAGGCAGCAGCAAGGAAUUUUGCGCAAUGGGCGAAAGCCUGACGCAGCGACGCCGCGUGGGGGAUGAAGGCCUUCGGGUCGUAAACCCCUUUUCCUGGGGAAGAAUUAUGACGGUACCCGGGGAAUAAGUCUUGGCUAACUACGUGCCAGCAGCCGCGGUAAUACGUAGGAGGCAAACGUUAUUCGGAUUUACUGGGCGUAAAGCGGGUGUAGACGGCUUUUUAAGUCAGAUGUGAAAUCUCCUGACUCAAUCAGGAGGGGACAUUUGAUACUAAGAGGCUGGAGGACGGUAGAGGAAGACGGAACUCCCGGUGUAGCGGUGAUAUGCGUAGAUAUCGGGAGGAACACCAGUGGCGAAGGCGGUCUUCUAGGCCGUUCCUGACGUUGAGGCCCAAAAGCGUGGGGAGCGAAACGGAUUAGAUACCCUGGUAGUC